GACGGCCACAUCUUCCACCCAACAACAGAUCCCUCACCUCCAAUCCUUCCUGGGUUUUUAUAAUUGGGAACAUGCAGGUAUUUAACAGAAAACAGUGUAAAGUUAUGGCAAGAUUGUAAGUAAAACAUUUUUAGAAAUUUAAACAUGACAGUUUAAAGCUGAUCAGAAUAUGUAAUAACUUUUUUAAGACAGGCCUAUUUCCUUUAGCCAUUCCUCAAAACUGGACAGACAAGAGAACAUGCGUCUAGAGUAAGAUGGAUGUAUAUGUUGACCUUCAAUAGUCUGGAAAUAGCAGCAAAAAACAUCUGCUUACCUGAAGCUGCCUGGAGCUACAGUCUCAGGACUAAUUGAAAUGUUUCAAAUAAUGGAAAUUGUGACAAGCUGAGCGAAUUAGGACCCAGACUUAUCUUGCCAUUAUGCUCAUUCUAGCUGUUUGAAGAGAGAAAUGCCAGGAAGCAUCCAUUUCUGUCACAAGCAUGAUCCCAGCUUUGGGAUCCACCGCUCUAAGGUGUCACCAUCUGGUUUGGGACAAUAACCUGACCAGAGAGAACAUUAGUAGGACAACACACACUGUCAGCUUUCAGAGAACCCUCCGAGGAUUUAACAGUGAAUACUGUAUGUAUUUUUAGUGUCAGUUUCUCCGUUCAAUGUGUUUCUGCUGCCACUAGAGGGAGACACAGGAACACAACAGAAGCUGCUCAGCUGCUAAGAUAACAUGAACUUAAUGUCAAUGUUGUUAAUGAAAAAGCUAUAAUAUUCUUUAAAAUACACACCAUUAAUAUUUCACAAGACCAGAUCAUUUUUCUCAGUCAGUACAAAUUAUGUAAAAAAAAGAAAGUAGGCUA
Xiphophorus couchianus (Monterrey platyfish) is the source of this 845-nucleotide long non-coding RNA. RefSeq lists it as uncharacterized. The transcript is spliced from 2 exons. Lineage: Eukaryota; Metazoa; Chordata; Actinopteri; Cyprinodontiformes; Poeciliidae. The record is from RefSeq and is a predicted model, not a curated record.